UUAGAGCCGGAGCCACCCCCGCCCGCAGGGGGCGCGUCGGAGCUGCCCCACAGCUGGAGCCGCCGCAGGUCGCGUCGGAGCCGGCCCGCCGCUGGAGCCACCGCUGGAACCGCCGCAGGUCACAUCGGAGCCGCCCCGCCGCUGGAACCGCCGCAGGUCGCGCUGGAGCCGCCCGCCGCGAGCCGCUGGUCUCCGUUGGCCUUUUCAACACCUCCACGAGCAAGCGACCCACGCGCACACCACUCUCCGCUGCACCAGUGAGGAAGUGAUGGUGCACGAGGACGAGCUUCCCGGACAAGAAGAUCUCCGUACUCUUCUCGGUGAUGCAAAGUUGAGGUUUGGAUUUUGGCAUCCGAUCUAUUGCUUUGUCGGACGAAACUUAACUGUUUGUUUUUAUUAUAGCUUAGAUCAGUCUAUUUUAAUCUUUUAUGCUUAUCUUUCAUUCAAGGCUUCAAACCGCACUCGAUUGCAAAACAAAAUUCAGACAACCGAUUGCUGAAUCCUAGACUUUCUCAUAGUUAUAACUAAUAAGACCUGCAACCAUCGAAUCUUUUGGUUGCACUCUCAGCUGAUAUAUGAGAUCGAUCAUCUCAUCCUACCUGUUCGGAAUUGCGGAUUCCGAAGUUCCUUUUUUGAUUCUGUUGAUUGUAAUGUUAAAUAUGGCUCCUAAUUGGAUACAUACUUGUCUAAACGAUUGGUGCAGCUGCAGAUCAUCUAUAUUGAUUCUGGAGACCGAUUCUUGGUGCUGCUGCAGAUCGUCUACAUUGAUUCUGGACGUCGAUUCUUCAUUUACCCUUCUCAUUACCAUUUGCUAACUUAAUCACCUCUCUCUCAUGUUGGUUCUGAAGAUCUUUUAUGUGUCAUGUCGACAAAGGCGUUUGAUAAGAGAUCCAAGCAGGCUGCAUGUGAGGUGAAUCAAGGUAAUAUGUAUGAUGUAGUCUAGGAGCCGCCCUUCGCCGUGGUCCGCAGGUCGCCGAGCCGCCGCCCCGGAGCCGCCCUUCGACGCGGCCCGCAGGUUCCCCAGCCGCCGCCCUGGAGCCACCCUUCGCCGCAGGUCGCCGCUGCCGGAGCCGCCCUUCGCCACAUGUCUCCUCCCUGCUGGCCGCCCUGCCCUCCACCGCUCUUAUCUUCAAGCCCAAGGCACACACGCGAUCCCCUCAGCUUCUGUCCUUUCUUCAACCCACCGAUUCGUUUUCUGCAUUAUGAAUUGUUCCCGUCUGAACAUCUACGCGAUCCAAUUACAAUAGAAGCAUAAAUCCCUAUAUAUAUGCAUAAGAGCAAAUCUUCCCCCAAACGGCAGAACAGAGGUCCCUCUUUCAAAUGACUGAAGAUUGGUUAUCCCAUAACCAGACGCAGAGGGAGAAAUUUAGUUCCAUAACCUCCAUAUAAAUACCAUCAUCCUUGUUCCCUCCUUCCCACUUCUGUUAAAUUGUUAGAAACCUAGACUCAUGGGUAAAGGAAUUAUUUGAUUCAGUGCUUUGUCAGAUCAAAAAUAGAAUCUAGCUAAGGAGCACAUGUCCUAUUUUGCAGGUGAUAUAUACUCGAAGGCAUGAAACUGGUAUUUAAUAAUACUCCAGGUGAGAUAUAUGCAGGUGUUAUGGAUUGUGGUUUCGAGGAAAACAAUUAUGGAACUCAAUAUGCAUCCGUUAAGUUUCUGAAGCUUGAUCGACAUCUUUUAUCAGUUGUUAAUUAGUACUAGGAUUCUUAUGCAUGUCUACUGCUGUUUAGGAAACUAAAGACAUGAUGGUUCCGUUUGGGACGAAAAAGAAAAGUAGCACCAGGUGUGUUAACCCAAUGCUUAGGUGAUUAAAUGCAGAUAAAAAAAUUAUCCCCUGUUUGAGCAGUAUGGAAGUACACAUGGUUAUUUGGUCAGUGGCCUUCUUGGCAUAUGUAGAUUUUCUGUGUUCUGAAUUUUUAGCCCUUGUGAUUCUUGUAGGUUAUGCUUUAUUCAGGCGUAUAACUUGUACUUCCAUUGCUCUACAUUUUACUUAAAUCACAUAUUUGACACUUUGUACAAUCUGCAGUUAAUUACUAAAUCCCCAGAGUUGCAGAGGAGUUCUACAUUAUUUCAUUAGUCCAUUUAGAGCAUGUCAAUUGGAUGUAUAAGUUAUUUAGGGGUAAAAUCAACUUCCCUCUGAAGUCUGCUGCUGGUCAUGCUCUUUUAUAUGAUGGUCUGAUCUGGUCACACUCUUUCGACAGUCGAUGCAUAUUUUCUUUUGGGUAAUUUGCUUCACCUAAGCUUCAGUAGCACUGUGCAUGGCCCUUUGAGUUCAUAUCUUCUAUUGGCGUCUGAAAACUAUCAUUUUUGGUCAUCUGAUAUCACUCUAUUCAUGCUAUCAAUUUUUCUUUCUCACUAUAUGGUAGUCCUUGACCUGUUUGUGUCAUCGGAGAAGGGAAUUUUCCUUUUUUUCACUUUUAUCUUGUUUUCUUUUAAUAUAUUGGUUUUAGUUGUAUAUUAUAGAAGGAUUGGACAUGGAGAUCUAAGAUGGAAGCGUUUGUGUAUAUACUGUACCUCUGUAUAUCUUUCCAAGUUCCAUCUUGCUUUAUCAUACAUUUUAAAAGAAUAGUUGUUUUCUGAGUCAUUGAUGUACUUAUGUUGUGUUGUCACCGACCAUGAGUAUAUAACAGUUUGUUGGACAAAAGUAUUCUUGUGGUCUGUGCCAUGGUUGGGCACCAUAUUAAAUAUAAAAUGAUAACAUUGCAAGCAUUUUUAUUUUGAAGGGCUAACAAGAAAGGAUUUCUUCCGGCAGCAUAACAAAGAACCCAUUGGGUAGAUGCAACACCCGAAUGCCUUUUUGACUAAAUCAUUUUAAUUAACUAAUUACAGUGGCGGAGCUAGAUGGGGAGGCAAAGGGAAAAUACAUCAAUUCUUGAGCGGUCCAAAAACUAUAAUUUGUUUUAUUAAGCACCCCCAAGAGUUCUUUAUUCACACAUUUUUUCAAGGUUGGGGGUUUAAUGUAAGUUUUCUGCUAUUAAAACUGCAACUUUCCAUCCUGAUUGUGUCCAUGAUUAAGUUUUGGGUGUGGGCAGGGCAGGAGAUCAAGCACUCCGUCCUCUGCCAGGUCGCCGCCGCUGCCCGGGACGUGGACGCGCACGUGGGUCCGUCAGUCGCUGGCAAACAAGGUCGAGUCCGUGCAGAGCACUGGUCUCCUCCCUAUCGUCGUCGUCCUCCCUGCUGCCAGCGACGCCCUCCUGUCUCCUCUGCACCAGUCUACUCCUUCAUAUUAUUUACAAAAGAAAAUGGUUUGGGGUGAAGAGUUGAAGGCUUGAAGCCAAAUGUUCCUAAUCAAGAAGAUGACCCGCACAACUCCCCUGAAACAAGGCCAACACUAUGUGCCAAGAUUGAAGAUCCCAAAUAUGUUUACUUUGGUCCAAUAUCGUAUAGCAGUGUAAUGCUUCAGGCACUUUUUAUCAUUCAUUUUUAUUAUUCAAAUCUCUAUAUGGUUGCCAUAGAUGCUACUAUUACAUGGAUUUAUUACUAUUUUUCAUGUGUUGUUGAAAAUAGAACUCACUCA
Molecule: RNA transcript, 3515 nt
Organism: Triticum dicoccoides
Lineage: Eukaryota; Viridiplantae; Streptophyta; Magnoliopsida; Poales; Poaceae
Exons: 3
Source: RefSeq, a predicted model, not a curated record